This 2903-nucleotide ribosomal RNA is filed under the name Escherichia coli. RNAcentral's name for it is "23S ribosomal RNA". It matches the Rfam family "Bacterial large subunit ribosomal RNA". Lineage: Bacteria; Pseudomonadati; Pseudomonadota; Gammaproteobacteria; Enterobacterales; Enterobacteriaceae. The record is from RNAcentral.
GGUUAAGCGACUAAGCGUACACGGUGGAUGCCCUGGCAGUCAGAGGCGAUGAAGGACGUGCUAAUCUGCGAUAAGCGUCGGUAAGGUGAUAUGAACCGUUAUAACCGGCGAUUUCCGAAUGGGGAAACCCAGUGUGUUUCGACACACUAUCAUUAACUGAAUCCAUAGGUUAAUGAGGCGAACCGGGGGAACUGAAACAUCUAAGUACCCCGAGGAAAAGAAAUCAACCGAGAUUCCCCCAGUAGCGGCGAGCGAACGGGGAGGAGCCCAGAGCCUGAAUCAGUGUGUGUGUUAGUGGAAGCGUCUGGAAAGGCGCGCGAUACAGGGUGACAGCCCCGUACACAAAAAUGCACAUGCUGUGAGCUCGAUGAGUAGGGCGGGACACGUGGUAUCCUGUCUGAAUAUGGGGGGACCAUCCUCCAAGGCUAAAUACUCCUGACUGACCGAUAGUGAACCAGUACCGUGAGGGAAAGGCGAAAAGAACCCCGGCGAGGGGAGUGAAAAAGAACCUGAAACCGUGUACGUACAAGCAGUGGGAGCACGCUUAGGCGUGUGACUGCGUACCUUUUGUAUAAUGGGUCAGCGACUUAUAUUCUGUAGCAAGGUUAACCGAAUAGGGGAGCCGAAGGGAAACCGAGUCUUAACUGGGCGUUAAGUUGCAGGGUAUAGACCCGAAACCCGGUGAUCUAGCCAUGGGCAGGUUGAAGGUUGGGUAACACUAACUGGAGGACCGAACCGACUAAUGUUGAAAAAUUAGCGGAUGACUUGUGGCUGGGGGUGAAAGGCCAAUCAAACCGGGAGAUAGCUGGUUCUCCCCGAAAGCUAUUUAGGUAGCGCCUCGUGAAUUCAUCUCCGGGGGUAGAGCACUGUUUCGGCAAGGGGGUCAUCCCGACUUACCAACCCGAUGCAAACUGCGAAUACCGGAGAAUGUUAUCACGGGAGACACACGGCGGGUGCUAACGUCCGUCGUGAAGAGGGAAACAACCCAGACCGCCAGCUAAGGUCCCAAAGUCAUGGUUAAGUGGGAAACGAUGUGGGAAGGCCCAGACAGCCAGGAUGUUGGCUUAGAAGCAGCCAUCAUUUAAAGAAAGCGUAAUAGCUCACUGGUCGAGUCGGCCUGCGCGGAAGAUGUAACGGGGCUAAACCAUGCACCGAAGCUGCGGCAGCGACACUGUGUGUUGUUGGGUAGGGGAGCGUUCUGUAAGCCUGUGAAGGUGUACUGUGAGGUAUGCUGGAGGUAUCAGAAGUGCGAAUGCUGACAUAAGUAACGAUAAAGCGGGUGAAAAGCCCGCUCGCCGGAAGACCAAGGGUUCCUGUCCAACGUUAAUCGGGGCAGGGUGAGUCGACCCCUAAGGCGAGGCCGAAAGGCGUAGUCGAUGGGAAACAGGUUAAUAUUCCUGUACUUGGUGUUACUGCGAAGGGGGGACGGAGAAGGCUAUGUUGGCCGGGCGACGGUUGUCCCGGUUUAAGCGUGUAGGCUGGUUUUCCAGGCAAAUCCGGAAAAUCAAGGCUGAGGCGUGAUGACGAGGCACUACGGUGCUGAAGCAACAAAUGCCCUGCUUCCAGGAAAAGCCUCUAAGCAUCAGGUAACAUCAAAUCGUACCCCAAACCGACACAGGUGGUCAGGUAGAGAAUACCAAGGCGCUUGAGAGAACUCGGGUGAAGGAACUAGGCAAAAUGGUGCCGUAACUUCGGGAGAAGGCACGCUGAUAUGUAGGUGAAGUCCCUUGCGGAUGGAGCUGAAAUCAGUCGAAGAUACCAGCUGGCUGCAACUGUUUAUUAAAAACACAGCACUGUGCAAACACGAAAGUGGACGUAUACGGUGUGACGCCUGCCCGGUGCCGGAAGGUUAAUUGAUGGGGUCAGCGCAAGCGAAGCUCUUGAUCGAAGCCCCGGUAAACGGCGGCCGUAACUAUAACGGUCCUAAGGUAGCGAAAUUCCUUGUCGGGUAAGUUCCGACCUGCACGAAUGGCGUAAUGAUGGCCAGGCUGUCUCCACCCGAGACUCAGUGAAAUUGAACUCGCUGUGAAGAUGCAGUGUACCCGCGGCAAGACGGAAAGACCCCGUGAACCUUUACUAUAGCUUGACACUGAACAUUGAGCCUUGAUGUGUAGGAUAGGUGGGAGGCUUUGAAGUGUGGACGCCAGUCUGCAUGGAGCCGACCUUGAAAUACCACCCUUUAAUGUUUGAUGUUCUAACGUGGACCCGUGAUCCGGGUUGCGGACAGUGUCUGGUGGGUAGUUUGACUGGGGCGGUCUCCUCCUAAAGAGUAACGGAGGAGCACGAAGGUUGGCUAAUCCUGGUCGGACAUCAGGAGGUUAGUGCAAUGGCAUAAGCCAGCUUGACUGCGAGCGUGACGGCGCGAGCAGGUGCGAAAGCAGGUCAUAGUGAUCCGGUGGUUCUGAAUGGAAGGGCCAUCGCUCAACGGAUAAAAGGUACUCCGGGGAUAACAGGCUGAUACCGCCCAAGAGUUCAUAUCGACGGCGGUGUUUGGCACCUCGAUGUCGGCUCAUCACAUCCUGGGGCUGAAGUAGGUCCCAAGGGUAUGGCUGUUCGCCAUUUAAAGUGGUACGCGAGCUGGGUUUAGAACGUCGUGAGACAGUUCGGUCCCUAUCUGCCGUGGGCGCUGGAGAACUGAGGGGGGCUGCUCCUAGUACGAGAGGACCGGAGUGGACGCAUCACUGGUGUUCGGGUUGUCAUGCCAAUGGCACUGCCCGGUAGCUAAAUGCGGAAGAGAUAAGUGCUGAAAGCAUCUAAGCACGAAACUUGCCCCGAGAUGAGUUCUCCCUGACCCUUUAAGGGUCCUGAAGGAACGUUGAAGACGACGACGUUGAUAGGCCGGGUGUGUAAGCGCAGCGAUGCGUUGAGCUAACCGGUACUAAUGAACCGUGAGGCUUAACCUU